RNAcentral lists this ribosomal RNA (210 nucleotides) under Candidatus Regiella insecticola. RNAcentral describes it as "partial 23S ribosomal RNA". It matches the Rfam family "Bacterial large subunit ribosomal RNA", at positions 1586 to 1801 of the family's 2925-position model. The record is from RNAcentral. RNAcentral also lists the same sequence under 1 other name. Lineage: Bacteria; Pseudomonadati; Pseudomonadota; Gammaproteobacteria; Enterobacterales; Enterobacteriaceae.
UAAAGUGAUUGAUGUCAUACUUUCAAGAAAAGCUUCUAGGGCUAAUUGAUUAACUACCCGUACCGCAAACCGACACAGGUGGGUAGGUAGAGUAUACUAAGACGCGCGAGCAAACUCUUGUUAAGGAACUCGGCAAAAUUACUCCGUAACUUAGGGAUAAGGAGAGCUUUUAUUAAAACUAAAAGCCGCAGAGAAUAGGCCCAAGCGACU